Molecule: non-coding RNA, 21 nt
Filed under: Caenorhabditis elegans
Lineage: Eukaryota; Metazoa; Nematoda; Chromadorea; Rhabditida; Rhabditidae
Source: RNAcentral
UCGAUUUACUCUUUUAUGCAA